UACGAAGGGUGCAAGCGUUACUCGGAAUUACUGGGCGUAAAGCGUGCGCAGGCGGUUUUGUAAGCCAGAUGUGAAAUCCCCGGGCUUAACCUGGGAAUGGCAUUUGGGACUGCAAGGCUGGAGUGUGGCAGAGGAGACUGGAAUUCCUGGUGUAGCAGUGAAAUGCGUAGAUAUCAGGAGGAAUACCGAUGGCGAAGGCAGGUCUCUGGGCUGACACUGACGCUGAGGAGCGAAAGCGUGGGGAGCGAACAGG
This 253-nucleotide ribosomal RNA is filed under the name uncultured bacterium. RNAcentral describes it as "partial 16S ribosomal RNA". It matches the Rfam family "Bacterial small subunit ribosomal RNA", at positions 524 to 776 of the family's 1533-position model. The record is from RNAcentral.